ACCUAACUGACAUCAUAAACUCAUUCAUGGAGACAGCACUCCUCUUCCUCUCUCUCUCAAGAUGUGCAGAGGAGAAUCACAAUUCGGACAGACGAGCCGAUUUACUUUUUACACAGCUUUGAGCCUAUGUUCCAUUUCAGGAGGAAAAUGAAAGUACACUUGACCGUUGUCCUGCUUGAGAAGUUGUCUUUUUUCCAAAAAGAGGCGGUCUGGGUUGUUUUUCCUUCCUCUCUCUCUUUUGUUUUCGGUUCUUUUUCCUCGUCAUCGAGUUCUUGCUUCAGAAGAAUUCGAGUGUGUCGUCUGUCAGGGUUGUGAUUCUCCUUUGGUGGCGUGCGAACGAUGACAGCCGAUAAGAGGGUUUCUCUGUGUCUAAAGAUUGAGAACGAGACGUGGGUUUUGAUCGAUUCAUGCUCCGCCGCCGCGAUUCAUCGUCCAGCGACGGAGCUCCGGCGGACUUUGAUCUCGAGCUAUGAAAAAACCCCUAAUUUACGAGCCUGCAAUUUGACCCUUUUAUCAUUCGGUUGCAAAGUUUUGUACUUUAGCUCUUUUCUUGCCGGAUUCUGCGCGUAACGCUUAGCACAGAUGCUUUACGAUCAUUUCUUUUUGAUGGGUAAGAUGCUUUACGUUUGGGAGCUCCAUGGAUGUUUGUGCUGAUUUGCUUGGACUCACUCUUUCUCUUUGCAUUCAUGUAUCUGGGGUUGUGGCUAAACUUGAUUGUUCAAAUGAGUUCAGCAGAUGGAAUGAUUAAGAUAUGAUACCUAAACGUUGGGCAUAUGUUGCUUUUUGGGGAAAAAAAAAAGAAGUCCAAGAUUUAAAUAAGCCACUAGACUCCAUUGAGUGGAACUGAUUUCUCUUUUUGCCCUCUCAUCACGUGCUUGUGAUGAAGCAGCUGAACAUUGUGAAACUUCCCAUUUAUUUUUUAGUCCCCCUAUUUGACUGAGCACUGUGGUCGAUGAGGAGUGCUUGCUGUGAUAAUCUUGAAUGAGACGAUAUCAAGAUGCUUUUGUCAUCAAUUAAGGCAUGUUUGCCAACGUUCUGGUUUUACUUAUGUAAGUAAUCGCUUUGGUAUGAAAUUGGUUUUGAUUGGUGGAAUGAAUGACAGUGACAGAUGAUUUCCCUUCAGUGAUCAAGGUUGUGCUAGUAACAAUACUUUUGAUAUGCCCGGAUCUUCUGCUAGUUGUUGUUGAGUUCACUGACUUAUCAUUGCUUCAAAGAUGCAUGAUUUUAUUGCUGAGACUAGUUUUAUAACAUCUUCUGAAGACAUAAUUAAAACAUGUCAUCCUAUUUCUGUGUAGUGUUCUUUACUAAUGUUGCCCUUCAGCAUGUUGAUCGUGAUUUCCUGGUGAUUAAUUUUUUAGUAUUUCCAGAUGACAUGAUUUAAUCUAGCAGUACCCUUUGCUUUCUUUGCUUUAUUUUAUAUGUAAAAGAAGGAAUGAUGUUGCAUCUAUUCAACUUGGUGCACACUUCCAUGAACCAGAUCGAUCUUUAGAAGCAUAUGGUUGGGAAUAAUUUGAAUGAUCUCAUCAUGGCCUCAUGAAAGAUUUUGUUGUUGAUCACGUUGCAUAAAUGAUGGUAACGUCUUUCCUUUUAUAAUCCUACUGUUAUGUUGGCGGAUGCGAUAUUGUUUCUUGCAUGAAAUAAAGGAAACGACAAGGUUUGUGGCUGCCGGAUAUGGCGCGAUCCCAUGGACCCAACAUUCCAAUAACCGUCUAGAGGACCUAACACAUGAAUAACCGACAAACUGCAUUGAAUACUUAGUUGUCAAGAAUCUGUUUAACUUUAGAGCAAAUUCCUGCAUGCUAAAAAGACUAUGUCCUCACACCUUAUUUUAGUUAGAAUGGAGAUUUUAUCCUUGCGAGGGAUCUUCAUUGAUGUCAAACUGAACCAGGGUUAAGCUCUGUCUAAAUAAGCACGUUUUACAUGCAGUCAUGGUUUUAUUAAUGCUUCAUUCACGGUGGAUAGCCAAAGAAACUAUAUUAUUAUCUACAAGCAGAUUCUUGGAGAGUAUAUUCUAACUCUUUGCCAUGUGUCCUUGCUUUGAUCACAUCGUGCUUCUUGGUUGGUUCGUUAGUCUUGCAAAAUUCGAAAGAUAAUUACAUUUUUAUGCAGAUCAUUCUUCUUGCAUAAUGUGAGAGAUUUAUGACUAUCCCUUCUUUUUCUCUGUGCUUAUGACAUGUCUUUAUUUCAAUUCAAUCCUUAUUACCAUGAGUAAUGAUAAGACUAAAUACCUUGUUUAUUCCCUAUUUUUCUUUUGGUCAUGGAGAUUGGAGAUAAUUUGAGAUAUAUAGUACAAAUAUUUUGCUCAUGAGUAACUCUUUGCCAUGUGUCCAUGCUUUGAUCACAUCUUCCUUCUUGGUUGGUUCAUUAGUCUUGCAAAAUUGUCAAAAGAUAAUUAUAUUUUUAUGCAGAUCAAUCUUCUUGCAUAAUGUGAGGGAUUUAUAACUAUCCCCUCUUUUUCUUUGUGUUUGUGAGUUUAUGAUGUGUCUUUGUUUCAAUUCAAUCCUUAUUACCAUGAGUGACGAUGAGAAUAAAUACCUUGUUUAUUUCCCUAUUUUUCUUUUGGUCAUGGAGAUUUGAGAUAAUUUGAGAUAUAUAGUACAAAUAUUUUGGCAUUAUGGAUAUUGAGGUAGCUGUGAAGAACAUAUUUUUAGUUUUUUGCAAAAUAAGUGCGCAACAGGUGGAGCAAGCAGUUGUAUUCUGAUGAUAUAUUUGUUAAUCUUGUCAAUAUGCUAUGUGCUUCUUUCUGCCUGUAACUUGCUUGAUUCAUUCGUUAUUUCAUUUGUAUUGCUUUUAGUGGGGAUGUUUUUAUUGUUUAUGGAGGGAAUCACGAGAUGUGGAUGAGGAGGUGGAACCAGUGUUUGCGACAUAACAAUUGCAGAGAACUUCAUGUGCAAAUGAAAUUAAUGCUGUCAAUUUGUUUCAAUUGCCUAAUUGUACUUGAAUGCCUAGUUUUACGGAGCAACCAACUUGCCUUGCUCUCUGUUUCUGCGUGUUUUACUGCUAAAUGUCCUAUAAGAGACUUGCUGGUUUUUGCAGCCAGUCGACUGGGAUAUAUGAUUGAUGACCAAAAUGGUCAUCCGCAGUAUAAUGCUUUUGUCAUCAAACUGUUGCCUCUCGUUAAAAUGACCUCAUGAUCCCAUUAAGAUAAAUAACUAUUUAGUACAAAUCCAUACUUGCCAUUUUGAGCCAGGAUGUCCUUCAGAAAUACUUGCUGCUCAUCUACAGGUAUGACUGGAUAACUUGCAAUCUUGUGGCGGAUGUAUCUUUUUACUUCCAUGUUACCUGAAUAGAAAACAGAACUGUAUUUUUUGAAGGUCUGGGGAAGGAUGUCUAUGAUAAGUAGCGAACCAUUUUUGUGUUUCCAACGGAAACAGAUGAUCCUUAAUGCAAUCUUUUGAUCGUUCUAUAUUUCACUCAACUUCCAAUUCUUUAGGCUUCUCUCUGGCAGCACAGAGAAAAAUCUGGUUGAUACACGUAUGUAAGGGUGGAGAGUCCGUCACUUCCCUGAGAGUCUUUGUAGUUUUUUGAUUUCUCAGGAGGUCUCUCUUGCAGGAUUUCUUUGAGUCAUCAUAUUGAUCGUGGAUGCUACUUAUCUGUAAUCUCUCCUUUUGUUUUCUUUCCUUCUUUAUUCUCUUCACAGCCUCUUAUAUUAAAAAUCCUUGUGCCAUUCUGGCUUCACUUGAAUCAACAAUCUUUUUUUUUUUUUUUUAAUAACAAUUUGAAAUGACGAGCUCCAAUAUCUUUCAAUAUGAGUAGAAGAUUAUGUGAUGAGAUUUCUCCUUGGCUAUGUGAAUUGUACUCCUUUCUUCUCUUGCUGAGCAUAUAUGAGCCUUGCUUGUAUUCAAUUUUACAGGUUGUCAUCCUUCAACUGUUUACCUGUGUCCACUCCAUGGUGGAAGUCAAGGCUUUAGUAUGUGUUCUGAUUCUGUUCACUAAUCCAUGCUGUUACUCUUAAGUUUAAACGCUCGGGGCUGAUUCAUGAUGUUUCAAAACUCAAAAGGAGACGAUGUCAUUGCUAAAGGGAUGAGACCAGACUGUAGCUAGCCUUGGUGGAUUAAGGGUUUGACAUGUGAAGAUAUACCAAUAUGGCAAAUUAACAUAAGCUUGCCCUCUUGGAGUUUCAGAUGCAGGAGCCAGGUGGUUAUCCUCUUCGAGUUCAGCAUGCAGGAGUGCCUGCUCGCGAGUUUAGCUGAUUUUGUAUCCGUCUGAGUCUUGUUAACCCUCCUUGUUCAGUCGCAUACCUCCUAUUGAAUUUGAGAAUCAACACUAAGUGUCGUCGCAGGAUAUUCCAGAAUGAUGUCUCUUCUGUCUUAUUAUCUGGCUUGAAGUGGUGCUAGUUUACGGCAUUGUUGAUACACAAAUGGAGUGGUUCUGGGAGAGGGAGGUAAUAUUUGGAAAUGCAAAAAAUACAAUCGUCCAGUGAAACAAAGACAGCUUGCUGCUGAGGGUGUCUCAGCUUCUCCGUUGAGAAGUAGUCUGCAAGAUCCUGAGACAAGUCGUUCAGAAAAUCUACAAGGAGAGCCAGCAAUUGAAAAUUGUAGGUCCUUGUUGCUGUUUAGAUACAAAAGCAAGCAUUCCCUUGUUGUUUGUUGAUCAACGGGAAAUUCGGGAAGCACCUCUAUGUUCCUCACGCUAACUAAAAUUUACACCGAGCAGUUAGGGGAACAAUGUCGUCGAUUGUAUUGUUCCCCCUAGCCCAUCAUGGCUACGUCUUGUUUAGCAAUUGGUACAAAUAAAUGGAUCGAUGGUUUCAUUUCA
Eucalyptus grandis is the source of this 4758-nucleotide long non-coding RNA. RefSeq lists it as uncharacterized. The record is from RefSeq and is a predicted model, not a curated record. The transcript has 2 exons. NCBI's taxonomy places the organism in Eukaryota, Viridiplantae, Streptophyta, Magnoliopsida, Myrtales, Myrtaceae.